GAAACGAAGUAAAAAUAGUACGGACAGACAUAAUUUUCUGUACUUUGCGUCGUAAAAUACCUUUACGGAUGAAAUUGAUGUGCGAUUUUACGUAUUUGGGAUGUAGCGCAAGUCUCUGUAACAGAUCCGUAAUUUUACAUCUCGCUUUCGGACUUUUACCUGAGUGCAUGCAUGUUAGGGGAGGAAAGCUCAGGAGAGAAUAGGGAGAGAGGCUGAAAACGUCAUCACCCACGCCAGCAACUGACAAAAUUCAACCCUCGCGCCUCGGCUGCAAUCAGUUUAGCGUCUUUCGCCACAAAGAGAACUCCUCUUUGCUGCAUCGGGCACAACAUCUCUUAAAAUCAUGGAAUAUUUUGCAGCGAAGCCGCUUAAUUUCCAGUUGGAGGCCUCCGCGAGUACUUGAAAAAUAUUGGAUUUGAAGUGAGAACUUUUGGAAUAAACUCGUCCCUCGUCAAUGGAAGUUGUGUUGGCAAUGCGCAAAAGACAGUGUUUUCAUCAACGCAAGAUACGAUCCAAAAGGAUUUUCUGAAAAAGACUACGUCAAGAGUUUCAUCUACCUCAAUAUUAAUUUUUACUUCAUGUGAGUUCUCUGUAAAUCCGUGAUUAUUAAUUUAUUGAAAAUAAAAGUAGCCAUUUAUAGCAAAAAUAAAUUUUGUGAUUUUC
Long non-coding RNA from Neocloeon triangulifer, 663 nucleotides. RefSeq lists it as uncharacterized. Lineage: Eukaryota; Metazoa; Arthropoda; Insecta; Ephemeroptera; Baetidae. The transcript has 3 exons. The record is from RefSeq and is a predicted model, not a curated record.